This 478-nucleotide ribosomal RNA is filed under the name Methanobacteriota archaeon. Its description in RNAcentral is "bacterial SSU rRNA". It matches the Rfam family "Archaeal small subunit ribosomal RNA", at positions 1 to 484 of the family's 1478-position model. Lineage: Archaea; Methanobacteriati; Methanobacteriota. The record is from RNAcentral.
ACUCCGGUUGAUCCUGCCGGAGGGCACCGCUAUUGGGUUCCGCUUAAGCCAUGCGAGUCGAGAGGGUUCGGCCCUCGGCGCAUCGCUCAGUAACACGCGGACAAUCUGCCCUUGGGUGGGGCAUAAUCUCGGGAAACUGAGGCUAAUACCCCAUAGGCCACCUCUGCUGGAAUGCUUGGUGGCCCAAAGUUCCGGCGCCCAAGGAUGAGUCUGCGGCCUAUCAGGUAGUAGUGAGGGUAACGUCCUCACUAGCCUUCGACGGGUACGGGCGUUGAGAGACGUCGCCCGGAGAUGAUCUCUGAGACACGAGAUCAGGCCCUACGGGGCGCAGCAGGCGCGAAAACUUCACAAUGUGGGAGACCACGAUGAGGGGAACCCAAGUGUCUGCGCUAUGCGUAGACUGUUUCCCUGUCUAAAAAACAGGGAGAGUAAGGGCUGGGUAAGACGGGUGCCAGCCGCCGCGGUAAUACCUGCAGCC